CCUUGAAAUACCACCCUUUAAUGUUUGAUGUUCUAACGUUGACCCGUAAUCCGGGUUGCGGACAGUGUCUGGUGGGUAGUUUGACUGGGGCGGUCUCCUCCUAAAGAGUAACGGAGGAGCACGAAGGUUGGCUAAUCCUGGUCGGACAUCAGGAGGUUAGUGCAAUGGCAUAAGCCAGCUUGACUGCGAGCGUGACGGCGCGAGCAGGUGCGAAAGCAGGUCAUAGUGAUCCGGUGGUUCUGAAUGGAAGGGCCAUCGCUCAACGGAUAAAAGGUACUCCGGGGAUAACAGGCUGAUACCGCCCAAGAGUUCAUAUCGACGGCGGUGUUUGGCACCUCGAUGUCGGCUCAUCACAUCCUGGGGCUGAAGUAGGUCCCAAGGGUAUGGCUGUUCGCCAUUUAAAGUGGUACGCGAGCUGGGUUUAGAACGUCGUGAGACAGUUCGGUCCCUAUCUGCCGUGGGCGCUGGAGAACUGAGGGGGGCUGCUCCUAGUACGAGAGGACCGGAGUGGACGCAUCACUGGUGUUCGGGUUGUCAUGCCAAUGGCACUGCCCGGUAGCUAAAUGCGGAAGAGAUAAGUGCUGAAAGCAUCUAAGCACGAAACUUGCCCCGAGAUGAGUUCUCCCUGACUCCUUGAGAGUCCUGAAGGAACGUUGAAGACGACGACGUUGAUAGGCCGGGUGUGUAAGCGCAGCGAUGCGUUGAGCUAACCGGUACUAAUGAACCGUGAGGCUUAACCUUACAACGCCGAAG
Molecule: ribosomal RNA, 753 nt
Filed under: Escherichia coli
Lineage: Bacteria; Pseudomonadati; Pseudomonadota; Gammaproteobacteria; Enterobacterales; Enterobacteriaceae
Also listed under: 1 other name
Description: partial 23S ribosomal RNA
Rfam family: Bacterial large subunit ribosomal RNA
Source: RNAcentral